CGGCGAGGAGGAGACGAUUUCUGUGUUGAGUUAUGGUGAUGGUUGUAUACGCUAUUCUGAGCCGGCG
Molecule: small nucleolar RNA, 67 nt
Filed under: Catagonus wagneri (Chacoan peccary)
Lineage: Eukaryota; Metazoa; Chordata; Mammalia; Artiodactyla; Tayassuidae
Description: Small nucleolar RNA U54 (ENSCWAG00000008612.1)
Rfam family: Small nucleolar RNA U54
Source: Rfam by way of RNAcentral